Molecule: non-coding RNA, 84 nt
Organism: Potamilus streckersoni
Lineage: Eukaryota; Metazoa; Mollusca; Bivalvia; Unionida; Unionidae
Source: the annotation of a GenBank genome assembly
GCUCUGGUAGCCUAGUGGUUAGUGCGUCUGCUUCGGAUGCGGGAGGCUGUGGGUUCGAACCUUGGAUGAGUCAUACCAGAGACU